Molecule: long non-coding RNA, 3246 nt
Organism: Canis lupus familiaris (dog)
Lineage: Eukaryota; Metazoa; Chordata; Mammalia; Carnivora; Canidae
Exons: 4
Source: RefSeq, a predicted model, not a curated record
AUGUAUGUGUCUCAUGAAUAAAUAAAUAAAAUCUUAAAAAAAAAACAACCUAUAGAGAGAAAUGCAAAAGAGAAUUUUCUAUUAUGACCUUGACAUUUCAUACUAUUCCCACUAUCCUGCAUACUUAAAUACAUAUUCACAGUGUGUUCACCAGUAUAAUGGCCCUCAGUAAAAACAGAGUAAAUAAAACUACCUUAUCAUCUGCUUUGUAUGCCUAGUAGGCCAUACAAAUUUAAUUGCUGAUAUAAGCUAUAAAAUUUCAGUACAGUCAACAGAGGUUUGAUGGGUAAUGUACCUAUAAGGAAGACUCAAGAAACCACAAGUCUGCUCCUACCUUUAUUCUCUCCCUAUCAAAGAUUAAAUUACAUAAGUACAUAAUUCAUAAUGUAUUCACAGAUAUGAGCAUAUUAAUCUUCAACAGAGACAAAGUAAAAGUUAUUACUUAAUCCUCUCUGCUUAUAUGAUUUUAAAAAGCCAGUUUAGCUUGUGAUAAAAGGCAAUAAAAUUUCAGAGGUAAGCAAUAGAAUGGAAAGAGUCUAAAUGAAGGAACCCAUAACUUUGGCUUUAUUCCCAAUUCCUAUAAACAGGUUGCUAAGUGACCCUGGAAGAUCCAAUGAACUCUUCUGUAACUUACUUGCAAAGACUAUGAAACAAAGGAGAAUGUGACACCUGUUGUGCCUUUCCAACAGCUUGUCUGAAGAGGGCUGGGAUUUUCAGGACUAGAAGAAGAUCUCAAAGAGCAAUGACUCCCCUCUCCAAUAAGUAGUAUUGUGAAAUGGCCACCCCAUCAAAAGUGGCUUCCUCCCACUGUGUGAGAGCUCCAGGAAAAAAAACAAUUUAAAGAAAAAAAUGUGUAUCGACUCCCAGUUUUCUAUUAAAUAGGGAGCUAGAUUAGACCAACCCUCCUGUACACUUUCUUCAAGCUCUAAUAUUCUUCAACUCUGACUCUGAUUCACCCAUAAAAUAUUUGAUUCUCAUAUAUAACAUGUAAUUUCCAGAAUUUAUCAUGUAUCUUAAGAUCUAGGCAGAAAGUAUUUAUGUACAGAGAAUCAUUUCAUAGUGUUUCAUAAUUUUUGACCCAAAUAUCUAUUAGUUUAUGACUCAAUAAGCUUUGUGCAUUAUUAGACUGUCCUUGUCUCAUUACAGAGAUCUAAAUGAAUAGUCACCCUUAGAACUUUAGCACUGAGUGUUCCAGACAGCUGUUUUCUAGUUUUAUAACACUUCAGUUUUAUUUUAAUUUAGUUGAAUGUAUACAACAGUUGUUAUUUACUAUUGAGGAAAGGUGCCUGGCAGUCUUUGAAGUGUCAAGUGUAGAAGACUUAAACUUUACUGUGGUGGUUCUAGGAUGCAUCUGCAUAUUAUUUGAUAUGCCUCCUUUAAGAGGUAGGGUCUAAUUCCCCUCCUCUGUGAGUGUGGACUGGACUUAGCGACUUGCUUCUAACAUAGAAAAGUGGAAUUGAUGGUAUAUGACUUCUGAGACAAGAUCAUAAAAGGCGCUGCAGCUUCCUCUUCAUUGACUCUCUCUGGGACCACUUGCCUUGGGGCAAGCCAGAAGCCAUGUCACCAGGACACUCAGGAGUCUGUGGAGAUGCCCAUGGGGAUUCCUUCCUCACCUCUGCAGAGGACUGGAGACCAAUCCAUUCCCUGGAGAAAUUGAACCAGACAGGCCUUGAACUCUGGAACAUUAGCAUAGCUUAAAGUAGGGGGUGAGCCACCACACACUGAAAAAGGGAACACCACUGUGGGUAGACAGAGGCCCCUGGCCAACUGCAGGUAGAACUGCUUCUUGUGGUUGGAGCUGUGGACUGAGCAAGCUCUUCACAAACGUCAAGGAACAGAUAUCACCUUCUUCUCCUCUUUCCUGUUCCCCGCCUACUACCUGUCAGCCAACAGCCCCAACAGCCGCAGCAGCCCCAGAGUGAACGCCCCCAGGACCUGAGGCUGCAACGAAGGAUAAGCCUCCCUCUCUGCCAUCUGCUCACUUGGUGAGGGGGAGGGAAUAGAAAGAACUGAGCAUUACUCACAUCCUCAUUGCCACAAUCUUUAGCUUGUCCCACAUUUGAGAGCAGUCCCCCAUAGGAAAUAAAAACUGAUAUGGAACAAACGUGUCUUCCCAAUCACCACAAAGGCAGUCUGCCAAGGUGAAUGUGAUGCAUGCCCCUCCCAAGGUGGGAUGGAAAGAACCUCCUGAAGUUUCCCGACACACGGGACUAGGGUGGCUAUGUCGCCCUCUUAUUUGUGUAGGCUGUACCUGAUUUUUGGACAGUGUUAUGGUCCUGCUAAUCUUUUACACAGAAACGAGUAACUGGUCUCCUGAGCUCUGACCUGUUAGGUUUCUGUCGCCCUCUGUUUUUGCCUUUGUCCUGCUCUAGUUCAUAUGUUGAAACCCUGCUUCGGAAGGUGAGGGUGUCGGGAGGUAGGGCCUUUUGGGGAGAUGACUGGGAUUAAGUGAGGUCCUGAGUGUGAAGCCCUUGUGAAUAGGAACAGUGCCCUCAUACAGCUCAGGAGAGAACUUGCUUCCUCUGCUGGCUCUGCCGUGGGAGGACACUGUGAGAAGGCAGCCAUGGGCAACCAGAAAAGGACUCUCCAGAGCCACGCUGGCACCCUAAUCUUACACUUCCAGUCUCUGGAACUCUGAGAAAUAAAUGUUUAUUGUUUAUGUGCCACCUAGUAGAUGAUAUUCUGUGAUAGCAGCCUGGACCAGACAUUGUUAGACAUGGUGAUUGGAUAAGACUGGAGACUGGGCUCAGGACUCUCGGUAGUACUGUGGCCUCAUGACACAGAUCUCCAAAAAUGGAACAAAGAAAUAAAAAUUUAAAUCUGGACAGCCUACAGGACCAUUAAUUCAGGACAUGAGUAUUUUAAAAUACAUAUAUACCUUUUCUGAUAUACAUUAUUACUUUUGAAGUAAGACUGAUGAUUAUAUGGAGACAUACAAAAGCAACAGGAAAAUAAGCAAAAAAACCCCAAAUAAAUGCCAAAGAAUAUCAAUUAUAUAUUUGCAAACAUUGUACCAUAACAAAUAAGGACUGUAAAGAGCUAUUUAUUUUCUAGCUCAAAUAUAUUCCAAAGAAGUGAGUCUGCCAUCUGCCAGAGAAUUGAGGAACAUUGGAGGUUGAUGACGAUAUACUUCUGGGUCUCCUUUAGAAACCCCACUGCAUUUCCCUCAUAAUGUACUUUUUAGUGGCAGUUCAAAGAACAAGUUAUGGGAUCCCUGGAUGGCUCGGCAGUUUAGUGCUGCCUUCA